UUUGCAUCGAUGAGAACGCAGCGAAACGCGAUAGGUAAUGUGAAUUGCAGAAUUCCGUGAAUCAUCGAAUCUUUGAACGCACCUUGCGCUCCAUGGUAUUCCGUGGAGCAUGCCUGUUUGAGUGCCGCGAAUUCUCCCUCCCCUUACGGUGGCCGAAAGGCCGAAGUAGGGCGGACGGGGUAGGAUGGGUGUUGCUGCCUGGGGAUUGUACCAGGCUCGCCCGAAAUGCAUAAGCGCCAGGACCCUCGCUACCGCUCUCUAGGGAAGAGUGGCUAAGCGACCGCUGAGCAUGGCAUGAUACGUCAUUUGCUGUGUGUGGGCGGCCGGUUGGAGAGGUGUCUGCUUUACCAGCCCUUUUUUAAUUCUGGUCUCAAAUCAGGUAGGAUCACCCGCUGAACUUAAGCAUAUCAAUAAGCGGAGGAA
Molecule: ribosomal RNA, 423 nt
Filed under: Malassezia sympodialis
Lineage: Eukaryota; Fungi; Basidiomycota; Malasseziomycetes; Malasseziales; Malasseziaceae
Description: eukaryotic LSU rRNA
Rfam family: 5.8S ribosomal RNA (bases 2-127)
Source: RNAcentral